GGGGUUGUGGCUCAGUGGUAGAGCACUCGCCUUGCUCAUGCGAGACCCUGGGUUCAAUCCUCAGCACCA
Molecule: transfer RNA, 69 nt
Filed under: Ictidomys tridecemlineatus (thirteen-lined ground squirrel)
Lineage: Eukaryota; Metazoa; Chordata; Mammalia; Rodentia; Sciuridae
Description: Spermophilus tridecemlineatus (thirteen-lined ground squirrel) tRNA
Rfam family: tRNA
About the family: Transfer RNA (tRNA) molecules are approximately 80 nucleotides in length. Their secondary structure includes four short double-helical elements and three loops (D, anti-codon, and T loops).
Source: Rfam by way of RNAcentral